AACGAACGCUGGCGGCAUGCCUAACACAUGCAAGUCGAACGGGAUCCGAGCUUCGGUUCGGUGAGAGUGGCGGACGGGUGAGUAACGCGUGGGAACCUGCCCAGUGGUGGGGGAUAACUGCGGGAAACUGCAGCUAAUACCGCAUGAGCCCGAGGGGGGAAAGAUUUAUCGCCAUUGGAGGGGCCCGCGUUCGAUUAGGUAGUUGGUGAGGUAACGGCUCACCAAGCCUUCGAUCGAUAGCUGGUCUGAGAGGAUGAUCAGCCACACUGGGACUGAGAUACGGCCCAGACUCCUACGGGAGGCAGCAGUGGGGAAUAUUGGACAAUGGGGGGCAACCCUGAUCCAGCAAUGCCGCGUGAGUGAUGAAGGCCUUCGGGUUGUAAAGCUCUUUGUCCAGGGACGAUGAUGACGGUACCUGGAGAAUAAGCCCGGCUAACUUCGU
RNAcentral lists this ribosomal RNA (442 nucleotides) under uncultured bacterium. Its description in RNAcentral is "bacterial SSU rRNA". It matches the Rfam family "Bacterial small subunit ribosomal RNA", at positions 29 to 506 of the family's 1533-position model. The record is from RNAcentral.